Molecule: ribosomal RNA, 458 nt
Filed under: uncultured Scutellospora
Lineage: Eukaryota; Fungi; Glomeromycota; Glomeromycetes; Diversisporales; Gigasporaceae
Description: SSU rRNA
Rfam family: Eukaryotic small subunit ribosomal RNA
Source: RNAcentral
AGCAGCCGCGGUAAUUCCAGCUCCAAUAGCGUAUAUUAAAGUUGUUGCAGUUAAAAAGCUCGUAGUUGAAUUUCGGGAUUCUAUCGUUGGUCGGGCUAUUGUCUGUACUGGCGUGUGGAAUUUCUACCUUCUGGGGAACUAUCAUGUUAUUAAUUUAGCGUGGUAGGAAACCAGGACCUUUACCUUGAAAAAUUAGAGUGUUCAAAGCAGGCUUAUGUCUGAAUACAUUAGCAUGGAAUAAUAAAAUAGGACGGUGGUCCUGUUUUGUUGGUUUCUGAAUCACCGUAAUGAUUAAUAGGGAUAGUUGGGGGCAUUAGUAUUCAAUUGUCAGAGGUGAAAUUCUUGGAUUUAUUGAAGACUAACUACUGCGAAAGCAUUUGCCAAGGAUGUUUUCAUUAAUCAAGAACGAAAGUUAGGGGAUCGAAGACGAUCAGAUACCGUCGUAGUCUUAACCGUAA